RNAcentral lists this ribosomal RNA (744 nucleotides) under Pulvinaria neocellulosa. RNAcentral's name for it is "partial 28S ribosomal RNA". The record is from RNAcentral. Lineage: Eukaryota; Metazoa; Arthropoda; Insecta; Hemiptera; Coccidae.
ACAGAGCCCGUGAAUCCGGGCGCGCGGAAUUCAGGACCGACGCGGCGGCGGCGGGGGCGUUCGCGCGCCUCCCCCCGUCGCGUCGAUUCGAUAUUUCCGUCGCCGAUCCUCUCAACCGAGGAUGUCGGACGUCGCGACCCGUUCGCUCAGAUCGAUGCUGAGGGGCGCGCCUCGAGUUCGUAUGCGCGACGGCCGCGAGGCGGUCGCGCGACGACGGCGCGCUUCCCGUAAUGUUUUCGACGCGGACGGUAGCUUUGCGCGCGGGUAAUCGAAGCGGUCCUCGUGCGCGCGCUCGUCUACGGACGGGCGCGCGGGCGCUCGCUUCGACGCCGGUCAGCGACGAAUCUUCGGGCCUCUUUCCGACCCGUCUUGAAACACGGACCAAGGAGUCUAGCGUGCGCGCGAGUCGCGGGGUAUCCGAGCGGUCGGCGGUCGUCGUUUCGGCGGCGGCCGUCCACGCCGCUCGUCACGAUACGAAACCCGUGUACGUACGUUGUGCGAAGGCGUAAUGAAAGUGAAAGGCGGCGCUUCGCGCGUCGCCGGGGGAAGACGGUGCGUCCGAGUACACGUUUCGCGAUCGCGUACGGUAUCGCGACCGGCCACCCGCAUUCCCAGGGCGUCCCGCCGGUACGGCGGCGGUCGCCGGGGCGCGUUCGCGCGCGUCUCGGUCCGCCGACGAACCGGGGCGCACCUACAGCGUGCACGCUGGUACCCGAAAGAUGGUGAACUAUGCCCGGCCAGGAU